CCGGCGACCGGCGGACGGGUGCGUAACGCGUAUGUAACCUACCUUUGACAGGGGGAUAACAUCGAGAAAUUGGUACUAAUACCCCAUAACAUCACCGGAGGCAUCUUCGGUGGUUGAAAACUCAGGUGGUCAGAGAUGGACAUGCGUUGUAUUAGCUAGUUGGUGAGGUAACGGCUCACCAAGGCGACGAUACAUAGGGGGACUGAGAGGUCAACCCCCCACAUUGGUACUGAGACACGGACCAGACUCCUACGGAAGGCAGCAG
This 265-nucleotide ribosomal RNA is filed under the name uncultured bacterium. Its description in RNAcentral is "partial 16S ribosomal RNA". It matches the Rfam family "Bacterial small subunit ribosomal RNA", at positions 88 to 354 of the family's 1533-position model. The record is from RNAcentral.